UAAUUAUUGGGAAUAUUUUUCAAUAACAUAUUAAAGUGGCACAUUGGCAUGGUAUUAAGAGAUUAUUGAUUGUUAUCAAUUCUUGUUUGUUUAUCGAUAUAAUUGUUAUCAAAUUAAUUUUAUUACAAUAUUCAACGUUAUCUUACCAGGAUUUGACAACACAUCGACGACAUUUUGUAAAAUCUCACGCCGCUCCUUUUUGCUGGCGGUUUGAAUUCGAUUAGUAUUCCACGUGACAGACUUACCUCGACAUCCGCCAUAUUUCUUCAAAAACCGGACUGACUAUCAGCGCCACGUUUCCUUAUUUUGUAAUCACGCGUUAGAUGAAGUUGUCUACAUAUGAACUCAGUAUGAAAGUUGCCAGAAACGGCGAAGCUCCAGAAAAGAGAUUGCACGCAUUUUGUCUUUAAUCAAUGUGAAUCGAUGGAGGAUGGUAUGGGGGUUGUUGGGGAUGUUGAAAAGUAAAAAAAAAAAAGA
Long non-coding RNA from Vespa mandarinia (Asian giant hornet), 477 nucleotides. RefSeq lists it as uncharacterized. The record is from RefSeq and is a predicted model, not a curated record. NCBI's taxonomy places the organism in Eukaryota, Metazoa, Arthropoda, Insecta, Hymenoptera, Vespidae.